This 2584-nucleotide ribosomal RNA is filed under the name Escherichia coli. Its description in RNAcentral is "partial 23S ribosomal RNA". It matches the Rfam family "Bacterial large subunit ribosomal RNA", at positions 349 to 2915 of the family's 2925-position model. Lineage: Bacteria; Pseudomonadati; Pseudomonadota; Gammaproteobacteria; Enterobacterales; Enterobacteriaceae. The record is from RNAcentral.
GGCGCGCGAUACAGGGUGACAGCCCCGUACACAAAAAUGCACAUACUGUGAGCUCGAUGAGUAGGGCGGGACACGUGGUAUCCUGUCUGAAUAUGGGGGGACCAUCCUCCAAGGCUAAAUACUCCUGACUGACCGAUAGUGAACCAGUACCGUGAGGGAAAGGCGAAAAGAACCCCGGCGAGGGGAGUGAAAAAGAACCUGAAACCGUGUACGUACAAGCAGUGGGAGCACGCUUAGGCGUGUGACUGCGUACCUUUUGUAUAAUGGGUCAGCGACUUAUAUUCUGUAGCAAGGUUAACCGAAUAGGGGAGCCGAAGGGAAACCGAGUCUUAACUGGGCGUUAAGUUGCAGGGUAUAGACCCGAAACCCGGUGAUCUAGCCAUGGGCAGGUUGAAGGUUGGGUAACACUAACUGGAGGACCGAACCGACUAAUGUUGAAAAAUUAGCGGAUGACUUGUGGCUGGGGGUGAAAGGCCAAUCAAACCGGGAGAUAGCUGGUUCUCCCCGAAAGCUAUUUAGGUAGCGCCUCGUGAAUUCAUCUCCGGGGGUAGAGCACUGUUUCGGCAAGGGGGUCAUCCCGACUUACCAACCCGAUGCAAACUGCGAAUACCGGAGAAUGUUAUCACGGGAGACACACGGCGGGUGCUAACGUCCGUCGUGAAGAGGGAAACAACCCAGACCGCCAGCUAAGGUCCCAAAGUCAUGGUUAAGUGGGAAACGAUGUGGGAAGGCCCAGACAGCCAGGAUGUUGGCUUAGAAGCAGCCAUCAUUUAAAGAAAGCGUAAUAGCUCACUGGUCGAGUCGGCCUGCGCGGAAGAUGUAACGGGGCUAAACCAUGCACCGAAGCUGCGGCAGCGACGCUGAUGCGUUGUUGGGUAGGGGAGCGUUCUGUAAGCCUGUGAAGGUGUGCUGUGAGGCAUGCUGGAGGUAUCAGAAGUGCGAAUGCUGACAUAAGUAACGAUAAAGCGGGUGAAAAGCCCGCUCGCCGGAAGACCAAGGGUUCCUGUCCAACGUUAAUCGGGGCAGGGUGAGUCGACCCCUAAGGCGAGGCCGAAAGGCGUAGUCGAUGGGAAACAGGUUAAUAUUCCUGUACUUGGUGUUACUGCGAAGGGGGGACGGAGAAGGCUAUGUUGGCCGGGCGACGGUUGUCCCGGUUUAAGCGUGUAGGCUGGUUUUCCAGGCAAAUCCGGAAAAUCAAGGCUGAGGCGUGAUGACGAGGCACUACGGUGCUGAAGCAACAAAUGCCCUGCUUCCAGGAAAAGCCUCUAAGCAUCAGGUAACAUCAAAUCGUACCCCAAACCGACACAGGUGGUCAGGUAGAGAAUACCAAGGCGCUUGAGAGAACUCGGGUGAAGGAACUAGGCAAAAUGGUGCCGUAACUUCGGGAGAAGGCACGCUGAUAUGUAGGUGAAGCGACUUGCUCGUGGAGCUGAAAUCAGUCGAAGAUACCAGCUGGCUGCAACUGUUUAUUAAAAACACAGCACUGUGCAAACACGAAAGUGGACGUAUACGGUGUGACGCCUGCCCGGUGCCGGAAGGUUAAUUGAUGGGGUCAGCGCAAGCGAAGCUCUUGAUCGAAGCCCCGGUAAACGGCGGCCGUAACUAUAACGGUCCUAAGGUAGCGAAAUUCCUUGUCGGGUAAGUUCCGACCUGCACGAAUGGCGUAAUGAUGGCCAGGCUGUCUCCACCCGAGACUCAGUGAAAUUGAACUCGCUGUGAAGAUGCAGUGUACCCGCGGCAAGACGGAAAGACCCCGUGAACCUUUACUAUAGCUUGACACUGAACAUUGAGCCUUGAUGUGUAGGAUAGGUGGGAGGCUUUGAAGUGUGGACGCCAGUCUGCAUGGAGCCGGCCUUGAAAUACCACCCUUUAAUGUUUGAUGUUCUAACGUUGACCCGUGAUCCGGGUUGCGGACAGUGUCUGGUGGGUAGUUUGACUGGGGCGGUCUCCUCCUAAAGAGUAACGGAGGAGCACGAAGGUUGGCUAAUCCUGGUCGGACAUCAGGAGGUUAGUGCAAUGGCAUAAGCCAGCUUGACUGCGAGCGUGACGGCGCGAGCAGGUGCGAAAGCAGGUCAUAGUGAUCCGGUGGUUCUGAAUGGAAGGGCCAUCGCUCAACGGAUAAAAGGUACUCCGGGGAUAACAGGCUGAUACCGCCCAAGAGUUCAUAUCGACGGCGGUGUUUGGCACCUCGAUGUCGGCUCAUCACAUCCUGGGGCUGAAGUAGGUCCCAAGGGUAUGGCUGUUCGCCAUUUAAAGUGGUACGCGAGCUGGGUUUAGAACGUCGUGAGACAGUUCGGUCCCUAUCUGCCGUGGGCGCUGGAGAACUGAGGGGGGCUGCUCCUAGUACGAGAGGACCGGAGUGGACGCAUCACUGGUGUUCGGGUUGUCAUGCCAAUGGCACUGCCCGGUAGCUAAAUGCGGAAGAGAUAAGUGCUGAAAGCAUCUAAGCACGAAACUUGCCCCGAGAUGAGUUCUCCCUGACUCCUUGAGAGUCCUGAAGGAACGUUGAAGACGACGACGUUGAUAGGCCGGGUGUGUAAGCGCAGCGAUGCGUUGAGCUAACCGGUACUAAUGAACCGUGAGG